RNAcentral lists this ribosomal RNA (253 nucleotides) under uncultured bacterium. RNAcentral's name for it is "partial 16S ribosomal RNA". It matches the Rfam family "Bacterial small subunit ribosomal RNA", at positions 524 to 776 of the family's 1533-position model. The record is from RNAcentral.
GACGAACCGUGCGAACGUUGUUCGGAAUCACUGGGCUUAAAGGGCGCGUAGGCGGGCUGUCAAGUCCGGGGUGAAAUCCUCCCGCUCAACGGGAGAACGGCCUCGGAUACUGACGAUCUCGAGGGGGAUAGGGGCACGCGGAACUGUGGGUGGAGCGGUGAAAUGCGUUGAUAUCCAUAGGAACUCCGGUGGCGAAAGCGGCGUGCUGGAUCUCUUCUGACGCUGAUGCGCGAAAGCCAGGGGAGCAAACGGG